Molecule: long non-coding RNA, 1325 nt
Filed under: Triticum aestivum (bread wheat)
Lineage: Eukaryota; Viridiplantae; Streptophyta; Magnoliopsida; Poales; Poaceae
Description: long non-coding RNA (TAES_LNC026122)
Source: RNAcentral
UGAGGGCCUUGGGACACUAAUGAAACAAUAACAAUAUCUAAUAUCUGGUGGAUUGUCUUCUGCAGGAAUAAUGAAUAUGACUAACCCAUUUCUAGAAUCUGCAGCAUCACUAAAACUCUGAAUCACAUUGGCCUGUGCAUCAAGUUUCAGGAAAACAUGAUGAGGUAAAUAGAGAAACUUUCAUGGAUAUUAGAUGGCAGUUACACAUACAACAUUAUUAUUCUAUCAUAGCCUAAAUAAUUGGAUUAAAGUUUAGCCCUUUUGGAAGAAGAAUAGGGAUGAUAGUAGGAUUGAUUUCUGAUGUUAGAACUACUAAUCUUAAAGUUGUUGACUGCCCUUUAAUAACAACCCACACCUUCGCUAUGGAAAACAUAUAUUUGUUACCACAUAGUAAUAAAAAUGGUGUGCUUUAAACAUGGUUGCUGCAAAACACAUAAACGGAGAUUGCACUGAGACACACAUAUAUGAAUUGUGCACAUUGGUCUCGGGCUACAAUUUGAGUGCAUGCGUUGCUUACGAUGAACUGCUGAAACUCUUGCUUUCUCUCUAUUCUGAUGAUAGAAGCAAUGGCACAUAGCUCACACUCCACUUUUAUUUGUGUUAUUGUGAUAUUUUUCUUUUCAUCGAAAUCUUGACUUUGGACAUAUUUGUUGUUUUUUUAUAUUGGUGCGACCUUGUCCGCCUUAUAUUGUUUGGUGAUUACAAUAUAAAUUCCCCAGAUAGUGCAAAAGUGGACAGUUUAGCCAUUGAAUAGUAAUUAUUCUACUGAAUUGCAAUGAAACACUCUUCGUACUUCUUGGACUACUACAUGGCAUGAUCCUGAGCGUUAUUACCUUGCUGCUGCCUCAUGGAAUUUCUUGUGCGCCACACUGCAUGAUCCUGAGGUUAGCCUCAACAUAGUUUUAUGAUUUUCUUUUUUGUGCCUUUGGAGCUCUUGUUUUUUUAUGCUUUUAUUUUCCAUGUUUCGCAAACGAUCAACCCAAAUAGGUAAUUUUUGUUUUACUGCUUUAGGAGUACUCGCUAUGUGUCAACGGAUAACUGAAGUCUGGUUGCGUCUAUGAACACUUGGAGAUUUUGUAGUACUUUUUCCCAGGAGAUAAGCUAGCAUGAGUAAUAGAUGACCAACAGUAACUAAUUGCAUUUUUUGCUUGAUGGCCUUAUUGUCUUGUAGGAAGGCCUCUGCACCCCCUCCCGACAAUUGACACGCUGCAUCUCACCUGGCCACCCCGCAUCCCCUUCUAAGAUUGCUUCUCCCAUUGAGAGUGAAACUGUUCUAUGAAAUUUGAGAUGUAUAUACAUUCAGAUGAAUGCAGUUUCAUCCAUUG